This 136-nucleotide ribosomal RNA is filed under the name Cronobacter malonaticus 507. RNAcentral describes it as "Small Subunit Ribosomal RNA; ssuRNA; SSU rRNA". It matches the Rfam family "Bacterial small subunit ribosomal RNA", at positions 290 to 425 of the family's 1533-position model. Lineage: Bacteria; Pseudomonadati; Pseudomonadota; Gammaproteobacteria; Enterobacterales; Enterobacteriaceae. The record is from RNAcentral.
GUCUGAGAGGAUGACCAGCCACACUGGAACUGAGACACGGUCCAGACUCCUACGGGAGGCAGCAGUGGGGAAUAUUGCACAAUGGGCGCAAGCCUGAUGCAGCCAUGCCGCGUGUAUGAAGAAGGCCUUCGGGUUG